Molecule: ribosomal RNA, 483 nt
Filed under: uncultured bacterium
Lineage: Bacteria
Description: partial 16S ribosomal RNA
Rfam family: Bacterial small subunit ribosomal RNA
Source: RNAcentral
GACGAACGCUGGCGGCGUGCUUAACACAUGCAAGUCGAACGCUGAAGCUCAGCUUUUGUUGGGUGGAUGAGUGGCGAACGGGUGAGUAACACGUGAGUAACCUGCCUCCUUCUUUGGGAUAACGCCCGGAAACGGGUGCUAAUACUGGAUAUUCACUGGUCUUCGCAUGGGGGUUGGUGGAAAGGGUUUUUCUGGUGGGGGAUAGGCUCGCGGCCUAUCAGCUUGUUGGUGGGGUGAUGGCCUACCAAGGCUUUGACGGGUAGCCGGCCUGAGAGGGUGACCGGUCACAUUGGGACUGAGAUACGGCCCAGACUCCUACGGGAGGCAGCAGUGGGGAAUAUUGCACAAUGGGCGCAAGCCUGAUGCAGCGACGCCGCGUGAGGGAUGGAGGCCUUCGGGUUGUGAACCUCUUUCGCUCAUGGUCAAGCCGCAACAAUGGUUGUGGUGAGGGUAGUGGGUAAAGAAGCGCCGGCUAACUACGUG